CGGCCGUACCAUGAAUAUACCGGUUCUCGUUAGAUCACCGAAGUUAAGCAUCAUUAGGCGCGGUCAGUACUUCACCUGGGAACACUCCGU
Non-coding RNA from Caerostris darwini, 90 nucleotides. The record is from the annotation of a GenBank genome assembly. Lineage: Eukaryota; Metazoa; Arthropoda; Arachnida; Araneae; Araneidae.